GUUUGAUCAUGGCUCAGGAUGAACGCUAGCGGGAGGCCUAACACAUGCAAGUCGAACGGGAUUGGGAGCUUGCUCCCAUGAGAGUGGCGCACGGGUGAGUAACGCGUAUGCAACCUGCCUUUAACAGAGGGAUAGCCCAUAGAAAUGUGGAUUAAUACCUCAUAGUUCUUUUGUUCCGCAUGGGAUGAAAGAUAAAGCUCCGGCGGUUAAAGAUGGGCAUGCGUGACAUUAGCUAGUUGGUAAGGUAACGGCUUACCAAGGCAACGAUGUCUAGGGGUUCUGAGAGGAUGAUCCCCCACACUGGUACUGAGACACGGACCAGACUCCUACGGGAGGCAGCAGUGAGGAAUAUUGGUCAAUGGGCGCAAGCCUGAACCAGCCAUCCCGCGUGAAGGAUGAAGGCCCUAUGGGUCGUAAACUUCUUUUAUACACCAAGAAAAAGCAGGACGAGUCCUGUCCCGACGGUAGUGUAUGAAUAAGCAUCGGCUAACUCCGUG
Molecule: ribosomal RNA, 497 nt
Filed under: uncultured bacterium
Lineage: Bacteria
Description: bacterial SSU rRNA
Rfam family: Bacterial small subunit ribosomal RNA
Source: RNAcentral